AAUGAACGUUGGCGGCGUGGAUUAGGCAUGCAAGUCGCGCGAGAACCCGCAAGGGGGAAAGCGGCGAAAGGGACAGUAAUAUGUAGAUACCUACCCUCUGGACCGGAAUAGCUGCGGGAAACUGCAGGUAAUGCCGGAUAAAGUCUUCGGACCAAAGGUGUGAGUCCGCCGGGGGAGUGGGUCUGCAUCCUAUUAGCUAGUUGGUGAGGUAACGGCUCACCAAGGCCAUGAUGGGGUAGCGGGUGUGAGAGCACGACCCGCGUCACUGGGACUGAGACACUGCCCAGACACCUACGGGUGGCUGCAGUCGAGGAUCUUCGGCAAUGGGCGCAAGCCUGACCGAGCGACGCCGCGUGUGGGAUGAAGGCCUUCGGUUG
This 377-nucleotide ribosomal RNA is filed under the name uncultured bacterium. Its description in RNAcentral is "bacterial SSU rRNA". It matches the Rfam family "Bacterial small subunit ribosomal RNA", at positions 29 to 425 of the family's 1533-position model. The record is from RNAcentral.